CCCUGAAAACCCCCAGCCACAUAGUGCCAACCUGAAGAGGCAUGGGGGGGUGAGACUCAUCAGUCUCCAGGCCAGAGCACUGAAGAUCUGGAUCAGUGGGCAAAGGAGGUGGUGAGCACAUGUCAGGUUGAGCUGCCUUCUGGUUAGGACAGCUAGAUGAAUCAGCACCCAUUAUGUUCUUAGCCUCUGACCAUCAAACAGGAGAAGAAUCGAGACUGCUCCUUUAUCAACAUAACUAGCUUCCGCAAGUUCAAUUCUCAGCGUAAGUGGAAGCUCUCCUGCUACAUGAUCACCCCCUGUAGUCACUUUUGCAGAAUGAAUAUGCUCUAUUACCAAAC
Molecule: long non-coding RNA, 338 nt
Filed under: Vombatus ursinus (common wombat)
Lineage: Eukaryota; Metazoa; Chordata; Mammalia; Diprotodontia; Vombatidae
Description: lncRNA (ENSVURG00010013941.1)
Source: RNAcentral